This 207-nucleotide long non-coding RNA is filed under the name Elaeis guineensis (African oil palm). RNAcentral describes it as "long non-coding RNA (EGUI_LNC072957)". The record is from RNAcentral. Lineage: Eukaryota; Viridiplantae; Streptophyta; Magnoliopsida; Arecales; Arecaceae.
CAGUUUUAUUGAAUGUGGGCCCAGAUAUGGUGCUUUCAAGUCUUUAAUGGCUAAGAAAAAGGUCAAGAUUUGAAGUCCAUGAAGCAUUAUGGGGGUUCUAGGACCGGUUUGGAUCCUAGGGAGGAGGCAGGCUACCUUCUCGAUGUCGAGGCCAAGGAAAUAUGGACUUUGAGGGGCUAAUCUACUUUUGGACUAGUUAUGGGCCCA